This 253-nucleotide ribosomal RNA is filed under the name uncultured bacterium. Its description in RNAcentral is "partial 16S ribosomal RNA". It matches the Rfam family "Bacterial small subunit ribosomal RNA", at positions 524 to 776 of the family's 1533-position model. The record is from RNAcentral.
UACGAAGGGGGCUAGCGUUGUUCGGAAUUAUUGGGCGUAAAGAGCUCGUAGGCGGUUUGUCGCGUCGACUGUGAAAACCUACAGCUUAACUGUGGGCUUGCAGUCGAUACGGGCAGACUUGAGUUCGGUAGGGGAGACUGGAAUUCCUGGUGUAGCGGUGAAAUGCGCAGAUAUCAGGAGGAACACCGGUGGCGAAGGCGGGUCUCUGGGCCGAUACUGACGCUGAGGAGCGAAAGCGUGGGGAGCGAACAGG